Solanum lycopersicum (tomato) is the source of this 695-nucleotide long non-coding RNA. RefSeq lists it as uncharacterized. Lineage: Eukaryota; Viridiplantae; Streptophyta; Magnoliopsida; Solanales; Solanaceae. The record is from RefSeq and is a predicted model, not a curated record.
AAUCUCCGAUAGCUGAUAAAUCUCCAUAACUGCCGGAAGAACUCACCGAACGCACCGGCGACGGCGAGGGAGAGAAAUCACUCGACGGAGAAGAAGAUAAAGGAACAACUUGAUUCUCAUCGUCAUAAUCAUCGAUUUCACUGAAUUGCAGAGAGAGAAAGUAGGAGAAAGCUUUGGACCAGAGGCAUUCCAUGGAGUUGAAUUUUGACAUGAAUGACAAAGGAGAUUUCUCGAGUGUUUAGCUACGAGAAAAUUAGCAGAAUGAACUUUCGAAUCGCAAUCCCAGCAAAGUAAUUGAAGGGAGAUAAGAGAUGGAGUAGGUGAAAUUCAUUCAGUUUGAGAGAUAAUCAACAAGAUAUAAGAUGUGAUUCCGACUUUAUGAAUCACUUUCAGUAAUUAGAGGUGGAUCGGGGAUUAAGCAGGUCAUGGUCAUUCUAUUUGAGGGAUAAUCAACAAGAUACAAGAUGUGAUUUUGAUCUUAAGAAUCAUUUUCGGUAAUGAAAAACAGAUCAAGAGUUGAGCAAGUUAGUUCGUUCAGUUUGAAGAAUAAAUUAUAUGAUUGAUUUGUCAAUUUUAGCAUUUCCAUUUCAAUCAUUGCUCGCUCGUGACUUGAUUUCAGAUCGUGAAUAUGCUAUUAGCUAGCAAUUUUGUGUUGAUUAUUGAAAUUAAUGAGGGUAUGAAUUAAAAAAUUUGAA